GACGAACGCUGGCGGCGUGCUUAACACAUGCAAGUCGAACGGUAAGGCCCUUCGGGGUACACGAGUGGCGAACGGGUGAGUAACACGUGGGUGAUCUGCCCUGCACUUCGGGAUAAGCCUGGGAAACUGGGUCUAAUACCGGAUAGGACUCCUGGCUUCAUGGUUGGGGGUGGAAAGCUUUUGCGGUGUGGGAUGGGCCCGCGGCCUAUCAGCUUGUUGGUGGGGUAAUGGCCUACCAAGGCGACGACGGGUAGCCGGCCUGAGAGGGUGACUGGUCACACUGGGACGGAGAUCCGGCCCAGACUCCUACGGGAGGCAGCAGUGGGGAAUAUUGCACAAUGGGCGCAAGCCUGAUGCAGCGACGCCGCGUGAGGGAUGACGGCCUUCGGGUUGUAAACCUCUUUCAGCACCGACGAAGCGCAAGUGACGGUAGGUGCAGAAGAAGGACCGGCCAACUACGUGCCAGCCGCCGCCGUAA
RNAcentral lists this ribosomal RNA (478 nucleotides) under uncultured bacterium. Its description in RNAcentral is "partial 16S ribosomal RNA". It matches the Rfam family "Bacterial small subunit ribosomal RNA", at positions 28 to 523 of the family's 1533-position model. The record is from RNAcentral.